Molecule: ribosomal RNA, 238 nt
Filed under: uncultured bacterium
Lineage: Bacteria
Description: partial 16S ribosomal RNA
Rfam family: Bacterial small subunit ribosomal RNA
Source: RNAcentral
GAUCAUGGCUCAGGAUGAACGCUAGCGACAGGCUUAACACAUGCAAGUCGAGGGGCAGCACGAUGUAGCAAUACAUUGGUGGCGACCGGCGCACGGGUGAGUAACGCGUUGCAACCUACCUAUCAGAGGGGAAUAACCCGGCGAAAGUCGGACUAAUACCGCAUAAAACAGGGGUUCCACAUGGAAAUAUUUGUUAAAGAAUUAUCGCUGAUAGAUAGGCAUGCGUUCCAUUAGAUAG